RNAcentral lists this ribosomal RNA (300 nucleotides) under uncultured Pyrodictium sp. RNAcentral describes it as "bacterial SSU rRNA". It matches the Rfam family "Bacterial small subunit ribosomal RNA", at positions 495 to 795 of the family's 1533-position model. The record is from RNAcentral. Lineage: Archaea; Thermoproteati; Thermoproteota; Thermoprotei; Desulfurococcales; Pyrodictiaceae.
UGCGAACUCUGGGGCAGCAGCCGGGGUAAAAAGGCGACUGCAAUGGUUAUACGGAGUCACUGGGCGUAAAUGGUGCGCAGGCGGCCAAAGGUGUGAGGCGGGAAAGCCCGGGGCUUAACCCCGGAAUUGCACCUCAAACUACAUGGCUAGAGCAUUGGAGAGGGUAGCAGAAUUCACGGUGUAGCAGUGAAAUGCGUAGAUAGCGUGAGGAAUACCAGAGGCGAAGGCGGCUACCUGGACAAUUGCUGACGCUCAGGCACGAAAGCGUGGGGAGCAAAAGGGAUUAGAUACCGAGUAGUC